GAAAAAUAGUUUGUAAAAUAUGAUUUUUGGGGUUAUGAAAACCCUGUUUCUGUAUUCUAAAAGGGGGAAUGAAUAGAAAAGAAAAAACGAAAUCAAAAUCCUCAAAAAGGUGAUUAAUAUAUAUUUUUUCUUUUUUCCUUAUGUUUUUCUCGUUCAAUUUUUUUCUUUUUCUUUUUUUUUCUCUGUUUUGUUUCGUGGAAUAACAAAAGGGGAAGUGAGGGACUUACCAUAGAUUCGUGGACUUCUCGUCGGCUCAAAUCUCCAUUAUUGGUGGAGCUAUGGCAGAUGAGCGACGGACGGUGGCAUAGAGGCUAGGGUUGAAACCCUAGCAGAGAACAAGAGCAACAAUUUUUUUUAGAAACUCAGGCUGCAAAUGUUUUUUUAUUAAAUUUUUUUUGUUUAAAU
Molecule: long non-coding RNA, 405 nt
Filed under: Gossypium raimondii (Peruvian cotton)
Lineage: Eukaryota; Viridiplantae; Streptophyta; Magnoliopsida; Malvales; Malvaceae
Description: long non-coding RNA (GRAI_LNC010347)
Source: RNAcentral